Molecule: long non-coding RNA, 835 nt
Organism: Daphnia carinata
Lineage: Eukaryota; Metazoa; Arthropoda; Branchiopoda; Diplostraca; Daphniidae
Exons: 3
Source: RefSeq, a predicted model, not a curated record
GAAGUUGGUUUGGACCACAAUAGUCCUACCCAAAAAAUUUACACCAGGAACCAUGCUUCCAAUCCUGAAAGAACUGCAAGAUCGUCUAGCAGCUAAGCUGUCAUAAUUCACAGGAAGAAAAUGAAACCCUAACUAGAACAGAAGUUAAAUAAAUUGAAGAAGAAAAAAUCAAAAGGGAAAAAUAAGAAAAAUGACUUCCAAAAUUGUGAAACUUUCAAAAACCACCAAGGCAGCAUCUGUGUCAGCAACCUCUGAUCAUACAGAGUUUCUCAAAACAGAAAUUUCUAAGCCAAGAAUAACAAGUACACUGCCAAAGCCAAUUUUUAACAGUGAAGGCUGCCUGGUUUGCAGCAAAUUUGGUUUUGGAGAACUAAUUACUCCUUUACCCAUUCUGAAAAAGACCUCUUUCGAUCCAAAAGCAGCAAUGAUUAAAAUAAAACAAACGUCAAAGAAAAAGUGAAAAUCUUGGAAGGCAAAGGUGAAGUUGAGAAGGCAAGAAGCAUUGAAGGGAAACAGGCAUGGGAAGGUUCUCUGCAAAGAGCUGAAGGUGUUAGGGUAAAUGACGAUGUGAAUUGCUUGCUAAAUAAAUUUAAAAACGCGAUAAAACCAAAUCACAAAGUAAAAAUAAGUGGACCAAUGCAUUGAAGAACAGAAAAGAAGAAAAGCUAACAUUAAGAAACAUGAAAAGAAAGAACCCAAACUAAUGAAAUAAGGCCAAUUUAUCGUAUUAAUGAGCGAUACUGACUCUUGGAUGAGUUAACUCGUGUUCUAUUAUGUCCAAAACGUGUUAUAGUUUUGUAUUAAAAUACACUGGCAUGCUUUCCAUGUUCGUGGA